AUUAAGAAGUCUACAUAUUUUGCGUGUAAGCCAAUGGUCGUCCUCCGGGGCACCAAAGGCGCAGAGAACAUAACUUGAGUUGUGCGGGAUUACGGACACGGCUCUCUGCUCGUCCCUCCAUCCCCGGGUGUUGUAAUCGCCAUGCGGCUACCGGGAUCCAGGCGAAAUAUCAACCGAACCAUCUAGUAGCUGGUUCCCUGCGAAGUUUCCCUCAGGAGAGCUGAAGCACACAACGUUUCGAAACCUAUUCUUAUCUGGAAAAGCGAAUGAUUAGAUGCCUUAGAUUCGAAAUGAUCUUAACCUAUUCUCAAACUAUAAAUGGGUACGUACCAUAGCAUUCUGGCAUGAUGCUGUUGCAAACGUUGGUAAACGCCGGGCCGUCCCUUGUCAGGGCACGCCACGGCGUCGAAGGUAUCUGUGUGCUUAGUGGACCAAGUUUUGGUAAGCAGAACUAGUGCUGUGAGAUGAACCAAACGUAAUAUUACGACGCCAAAAUAAACGACGCAUCAUAGACACCAUGAAAGGCGUUGAUUGCUACAGACAGCAGGACGGUGGAUAUGAAAGUUGUCAUCCGCUAAGAAGUUUGUAACAAUUCACCUUCCGUAACAAUUACCCCUUAAAAUGGAUGGCGCUUAAGUCGUUUGCCUGCACAUUAUCGCUGGCGCACAAGUGGGGCAGCGUCUCGAGCGCGUCUGCUUUUGAGGCACCAGCGAGUAGGAGGGUUUGGUGGUGUGCGUUGAAGUGCCUGGUAUAAGCCGACAUGGAGCCGCCACUAGCACAGAUCUUGGUGGUAGUAGCAAAUAUUCGAAUGAGAUCUUGGAUGACUGAAGUGGAGGAUGGUUUCGUUUCAACAGCAGUUGAACGCGAGUUAAUCAAUCCUAAGCCCUUUGAGAAACCUGAUACCUAUAUAUUAAGCAACCAAAUACAACGCAACGUAUGUUGAUGCAACCGACACGAUGUAUAUUAAAUGAGCGAAAGGGAAUCCGGUUACAAUUCCGGAGACCGUUGGGUAUACGUUUGCAUUGUCGUCUCAUUCCGGCAACGGUAGCGCCUCUGUAAUCAUGGCAACAUGAAUCCUUAAGGAUAUCUCUUCCGGAAUUCUUCUUAAAUUUUCUCAGGAAAUUAUUUUUGAAACUUAUCUACGAGACUUCCAUGUAAUUCCAAAAUCUCCAAAUAUUCGUU
Molecule: non-coding RNA, 1182 nt
Organism: Aedes albopictus (Asian tiger mosquito)
Lineage: Eukaryota; Metazoa; Arthropoda; Insecta; Diptera; Culicidae
Source: Rfam